RNAcentral lists this ribosomal RNA (115 nucleotides) under Gastrotheca riobambae (Riobamba marsupial frog). The record is from RNAcentral. Lineage: Eukaryota; Metazoa; Chordata; Amphibia; Anura; Hemiphractidae.
GUCUACUGGCCCCACCCCCAACCCUGGGUACUCCCGAUCUCGGAAGCAAAGCAGGGUCGGGCUCAGGCAACUACUUGGAUGGGAGACCUCCUGGGAACACCGAGUGCUGUAGACU